This is a long non-coding RNA of Salvelinus fontinalis (brook trout), 3900 nucleotides long. RefSeq lists it as uncharacterized. The transcript has 3 exons. Lineage: Eukaryota; Metazoa; Chordata; Actinopteri; Salmoniformes; Salmonidae. The record is from RefSeq and is a predicted model, not a curated record.
GAGAAUGACAGUCACAACAAAUACGGAUGCUUCCGAUCUGAACCUAAUCUGGAUCUUGUAUCAACUCAGCAUGUUAAAAUGGAGACCAUCUCUACUGACACAGAUGUAUCUCUGUUUGAUGAGGAAGCAGUACACAGACCUACAAGGGACGUAUCUUUUAUGUCAUCUGCAACAGAAGAUAAAACGAUGGACCUCUACCCCGUCUGUAAGAAAAUAGGUGAAAGGUGCUGUCAGGUGAAAUCAAUAGGUGAGGCAAAAGAAAAACUUGACUUGUGUUUAUUGACCAAAGGUGCAAUGAUUGAAGUGGGCCAUUUUGCCAAAAAAGUGUAUGGAAUUUACAGGCAGAUUAUCAUAGAUGUCCUCGAGUACAAUUUUGAUAUUGAUUUGCAAAAGGAUAAAGAUCUUCUUGAAAACAUCCUCCUCAAUUUACGAUUAGUCGAAAAGAAAACAAGGCCGAAUUUGAAAGAUAUGUUAAGUAAAGAUAAACAUGAAUUGUUACAGGAAACUUUAACAAUUGUGCCUCUCAAAAAAAGGAAAUAUGCAGUAAUUUCAGGUGACAUGGAGGUCACUAGGGCAUCAGCUGUGUCAAAAGAUCAAAGACUUAAAGAAGUAACAAAAAGAAGACGACUAGAUUUAAUGAGGAAAGAGAAACUUUCACAGCAAGGAAGACGAAGACAGACCAAUUUGAAAGAGCCAGACAAGUUUCUCAGUGUGUUAAGACAGAGAGCGUCUUUACUGAGACUGAUUCAACACAGUUUUCAGAUGAGACUGCAAUACUUGACCAUGAGAAUGGAUCUGCUGACAUUUGCAUAAAGGAAGAGACUGAUCUGGACUUUAUAUCUCUUCAGGAUGUUAAGAUGGAGACCAUCAACACAGAGACCGAUGUAAUACAGUGUAAUGCUGAAGCAGUGCACAGACGUAUUAUGAACCAAUCCUUAAUGGUCUCCACAGUGAAAAAAACAGCUGCUCUACCUGGGAAAUCUGAAAGAAAUGUCAGGUGUAAAAAGUCAGGUCAAGGAAAAUUAGUUUCUAACAGGAUACAGAAAGCAAAUAACAUAAAGGAAGUGAAAUAUCAGACGAUGGCCAAUGACAUCUGCUCAGUAAAUGACUAAAAAAUAACUGAAUUAAAGCAGCCCUCCGCUGGAGGGAAGGUUGAGGACCCAUACCCCAACUGCAAGAAAAUAGGUGUAGAUUUCCAUGUUGGAUCUGGAGCAAAACAGAAACUUGCCAUAGGUCUACUGACUAAUGGGGUAAUGACUGAGGUUUCACAUUUUGCCGAAGAGAUGAAUCGAUCUCACGCACAUGUCAUCUGUGAUAUUUUAGAUUACAACAUUGAUCUUGGUUUGCAAAAUGAUCAACGCCAUGAAUUCGCAAUUCGGACUAUGGCGAAAGUAAAGUACUUGAUGGGGAAGUCCAGACUGCAAAGACCUGACUUGAUAACAAAAGUCUUCGAACUUCCUGAUCCAAGGGCAAUACCUGUAUCAAAAACACAUGUAAGCUCCAACCUUUUAAAUGACAAUGUGUCAUUUAGUCUGAGAUUGAAUAAAGAUGUAGAAAUACAGCAAUUGGUUAUAAAGAAGGAGGAGGAAUGUGUCUCUAUAUAAUGUCCUUUGAAGAAGAUGGGUUGGUUGAGUAUGAAAAGGCCCAAAAGGACAACACUGUCUCUCUGAUGAACUUUGACCUUGAUGCCAGCUAGGUAUCUCCUCAUCAUGUCAAAGAGACCAUGUUUAAUAAAACAGAUGUUGAAACAGCAACACUUGCCCUCAAGAAUGGACCUACUAACAUCUGUAUUAAGGAUGAACCCAAUCUGGACCUCGUAUCAACUCUGCAUGUUAAUGUAACAGUAUAACUUUACGUCGUCCCCUCGCCCGGACACGGGCGCGAACCAGGGACCCUCUGCACACAUCAACAACUGACACCCACGAAGCGUCGUUACCCAUCGCUCCACAAAAGCCGCGGCCCUUGCAGAGCAAGGGGCAACCCUACCUAAUGUCUCAGACAAGUGACGUAACUGAUUGAAAUGCUACUAGCGCGUACCCGCUAACUAGCUAGCCAUUUCACAUCCGUUACACUAAGAUGGAGACCAUCUCUACUGACACAGAUGUAUCACUAUCUGAUGAGGAAGCAGUACACACCUACAAGGGACCAAUCUUUUAUGACAUCUGCAACAGAAGAUAAAACAACGGACCUCUACCCCCUUUUUAAGAAAAUAGGUUUAGACCUUGACGUGAAAUCAAAAGGUGAGGGAAAAGAAAAACUUGACUUCCGUUUAUUGACUAGAGGUGUAAUGCUCGAAGUUGCAAAGUUUGCGGCCGAUGUGUGUGGAACCUACAGGCAGAUAGUCUCUGCUGUUCUCGAGUACAAUUUUGAUCUUGAUUUCUCCCAAAAAAUAGAUCUCCUUGAAAAUAUAAUUCAUAACUUAAGAUCAGUCAAGAAGAAAAUGAAAAGUCGAAGUUGGAGACUGAAAUGCAAAAAAGUUGAAUUGCUUUAUUUUAUUAUAGAUUUUUACUGGACUGGGACAGGCUGUUUUAUCUUUUCAUAUUUUUGUUGGAGGGAUCAAUAAGUUAUCAAGUUUUCAUCAAGUCUAUAUUCAUCAAUUUUUGACCUAAGGAAGUACACUUCUUUAAUCCACGAUUUCAAAGUAAAGAAUAAGAUAUUCUUGAAAAGGAUGAGUUUCACUGGAUCAAAAGGUGAUGCUAAUAUAUGUUUCCAGCAGCAGUGUCCCUAAAGCUGCAGGGUCUUAUCGUUCCUUCUUCAUAUUCAACUCUUCAUAAGUGAAUACCUCAAAGCCCUAAAGAAGUGUUGUCAAUCUUUUUAGUCACAGUGGUGGUGAAGGAGGCCAUCUACAGUAUGACAGGAGCAGAGGUGUGUUCACCCAGAGAAGGAGACCAUCUACAGUAUGACAGGAGCAGAGGUGUGUUCACCCAGAGAAGGAGACUAUCUACAGUAUGACAGGAGCAGAGGUGUGUUCACCCAGAGAAGGAGACCAUCUACAGUAUGACAGGAGCAGAGGUGUGUUCACCCAGAGAAGGAGACCAUCUACAGUAUGACAGGAGCAGAGGUGUGUUCACCCAGAGAAGGAGGCCAUCUACAGUAUGACAGGAGCAGAGGUGUGUUCACCCAGAGAAGGAGACCAUCUACAGUAUGACAGGAGCAGAGGUGUGUUCACCCAGAGAAGGAGACCAUCUACAGUAUGACAGGAGCAGAGGUGUGUUCACCCAGAGAAGGAGACCAUCUACAGUAUGACAGGAGCAGAGGUGUGUUCACCCAGAGAAGGAGACCAUCUAUAGUAUGACAGGAGCAGAGGUGUGUUCACCCAGAGAAGGAGACCAUCUACAGUAUGACAGGAGCAGAGGUGUGUUCACCCAGAGAAGGAGACCAUCUACAGUAUGACAGGAGCAGAGGUGUGUUCACCCAGAGAAGGAGGCCAUCUACAGUAUGACAGGAGCAGAGGUGUGUUCACCCAGAGAAGGAGACUAUCUACAGUAUGACAGGAGCAGAGGUGUGUUCACCCAGAGAAGGAGACCAUCUACAGUAUGACAGGAGCAGAGGUGUGUUCACCCAGAGAAGGAGACCAUCUACAGUAUGACAGGAGCAGAGGUGUGUUCACCCAGAGAAGGAGACCAUCUACAGUAUGACAGGAGCAGAGGUGUGUUCACCCAGAGAAGGAGACCAUCUACAGUAUGACAGGAGCAGAGGUGUGUUCACCCAGAGAAGGAGACUAUCUACAGUAUGACAGGAGCAGAGGUGUGUUCACCCUGAGAAGGAGGCCAUCUACAGUAUGACAGGAGCAGAGGUGUGUUCACCCAGAGAAGGAGACCAUCUACAGUAUGACAGGAGCAGAGGUGUGUUCACCCAGAGAAGGAGGCCAUCUACAGUAUGACAGGAGCAGAGGUGUGU